This 224-nucleotide ribosomal RNA is filed under the name uncultured bacterium. RNAcentral's name for it is "partial 16S ribosomal RNA". It matches the Rfam family "Bacterial small subunit ribosomal RNA", at positions 107 to 334 of the family's 1533-position model. The record is from RNAcentral.
UGAGUAAUGUAUGGGGAUCUGCCUGAUGGCGGGGGAUAACUACUGGAAACGGUAGCUAAUACCGCAUAAUGUCUACGGACCAAAGCGGGGGACCUCCGGGCCUCGCGCCAUCAGAUGAACCCAUAUGGGAUUAGCUUGUAGGUAAGGUAACGGCUUACCUAGGCGACGAUCCCUAGCUGGUCUGAGAGGAUGAUCAGCCACACUGGGACUGAGACACGGCCCAG